Molecule: non-coding RNA, 397 nt
Organism: Cinara cedri
Lineage: Eukaryota; Metazoa; Arthropoda; Insecta; Hemiptera; Aphididae
Source: the annotation of a GenBank genome assembly
CGCAAGGUUCUUCCUUGAACGUACACAGCAGGAAUCGCAAAGCGAAUCCCGAAAACUCCAGUGCUUAGCUGAAUGGGAAUGUUACUCCUUGUGCGCCGCGGCGUUCCGACACUAAAUACCAAUACUCUAGAAUUCGACGCCUUGGCUAAAUGACGACCACAAUACAUACGAGUACAGGUUUAGCUAACGUGGACCGCUCCGUGUUACCAAACACGUCUUAACCAAUUGACCACAAUAUACGAGUACAGGAUUGAUUAAGUGCGUAUAUGAACUUACAGGUGAUGCACGUUAAGACAAUAUUACGCUAUCUCUCUAUUGACCACGAUAUGUACGAGUACAGGAUCGAGAGAAGGUCCAAUAAUGCCAUUGUUGCGUACAAAAUAACCGCAAAUGCCUC